Long non-coding RNA from Ricinus communis (castor bean), 652 nucleotides. RefSeq lists it as uncharacterized. Lineage: Eukaryota; Viridiplantae; Streptophyta; Magnoliopsida; Malpighiales; Euphorbiaceae. The record is from RefSeq and is a predicted model, not a curated record. The transcript is spliced from 2 exons.
CAUAAUAUAUAGAAAUCCCAACUUGAAAUUCUAAUUAUAAUUUCUUUUUCUUUUUCUUUUUUACGAGAGAAAACAAUUUUCCUUUUUCCUUCAUAAGUAUGUUUCCUCUAAUUUUUCCUUUUCGUUUGUUUUUUAAACUACCCAAACCCACCGACAACAUUUUGCCCCUGGAAUCCUUCAUAAAAGCACCGAUCGUAUCCAAUGGAAUGGAAGAAUCGUUUAUUAUAAUUUAGCACUGGAUUUGCUGCUUGGCAAUUGAAGUAAGCACAAACAUAUUAUGGGUUUGGGACAAAAUUUGUCUGACAUUUACAUGUUUGUCUAGGUAGGUGAUUUCCUGGUCACCGACAUUGCAACUGCAUCAUUGGAACUGAGCACUGAGUCCAAGCAGCCCCGGUUAAGUACCGUAGUCAUUCUAUGUUAUAAAACAAUUAGUGAAGCUUCCUGCAAAAUAAGCUUAUUCAACACUCGAAACUGUCAGCUAGCGAUGGGACUGCAAGUUCUAAUCUUUUCUGUUCUUCUUUACUCGAUCAAGAUCUGGUGUUUGCGCUUAGAAGAUAGCAGCAUUUUCUGUUCUGCCACUUGUACCAACAUCAAAGAACCGUUUUGCUAGGUCCAUCACCAUCGGUGUUUCCAAAGGGCAUUUCAAGCUUCA